CAGUCGCCACGGUAAUACGUAGGGUGCAAGCGUUAAUCGGAAUUACUGGGCGUAAAGCGUGCGCAGGCGGUUAUAUAAGACAGAUGUGAAAUCCCCGGGCUCAACCUGGGAACUGCAUUUGUGACUGUAUAGCUAGAGUACGGCAGAGGGGGAUGGAAUUCCGCGUGUAGCAGUGAAAUGCGUAGAUAUGCGGAGGAACACCGAUGGCGAAGGCAAUCCCCUGGGCCUGUACUGACGCUCAUGCACGAAAGCGUGGCGAGCAAACAGGAUUAGAUACCCCGGUAGUUCCUGUCUCUUAUAA
This 301-nucleotide ribosomal RNA is filed under the name uncultured bacterium. RNAcentral describes it as "partial 16S ribosomal RNA". It matches the Rfam family "Bacterial small subunit ribosomal RNA", at positions 509 to 809 of the family's 1533-position model. The record is from RNAcentral.